This 427-nucleotide ribosomal RNA is filed under the name uncultured bacterium. RNAcentral describes it as "partial 16S ribosomal RNA". It matches the Rfam family "Bacterial small subunit ribosomal RNA", at positions 355 to 774 of the family's 1533-position model. The record is from RNAcentral.
UGGGGAAUUUUGGACAAUGGGCGCAAGCCUGAUCCAGCAAUGCCGCGUGAGUGAAGAAGGCCCUCGGGUUGUAAAGCUCUUUUGUCAGGGAAGAAAAGGUGAUCUCUAAUGCAGGUCACUCAUGACAGUACCUGAAGAAUAAGCACCGGCUAACUACGUGCCAGCAGCCGCGGUAAUACGUAGGGUGCAAGCGUUAAUCGGAAUUACUGGGCGUAAAGCGUGCGCAGGCGGUUAUAUAAGUCAGAUGUGAAAUCCCCGGGCUCAACCUGGGAACUGCAUUUGAGACUGUAUGGCUAGAGUGUGUCAGAGGGGGGUAGAAUUCCACGUGUAGCAGUGAAAUGCGUAGAUAUGUGGAGGAAUACCGAUGGCGAAGGCAGCCCCCUGGGAUAACACUGACGCUCAUGCACGAAAGCGUGGGGAGCAAACA